GGCCUUGCCUCAUGGCAAAACAUACACUUUAGCAGAAUAGCAAGUAGAUGAUGGCAAUGGGUCAUCCGGUCGAAAAGUUAGGACAUUUAGAAAAGCCAGACAA
Molecule: non-coding RNA, 103 nt
Filed under: unclassified sequences
Description: RT-17 RNA
Rfam family: RT-17 RNA
About the family: Bacteroidales (Bacteroidetes), Clostridiales (Firmicutes).
Source: Rfam by way of RNAcentral